Molecule: transfer RNA, 29 nt
Filed under: Petasites hybridus
Lineage: Eukaryota; Viridiplantae; Streptophyta; Magnoliopsida; Asterales; Asteraceae
Also listed under: 2 other names
Description: partial tRNA-Leu
Source: RNAcentral
GACAUCCGUCGAUUUCAAAAAUCGUGAGG